Molecule: unclassified non-coding RNA, 346 nt
Filed under: uncultured fungus
Lineage: Eukaryota; Fungi
Description: partial contains small subunit ribosomal RNA, internal transcribed spacer 1, and 5.8S ribosomal RNA
Rfam family: Eukaryotic small subunit ribosomal RNA (bases 1-73)
Source: RNAcentral
GCAAACUUGGUCAUUUAGAGGAAGUAAAAGUCGUAACAAGGUUUCCGUAGGUGAACCUGCGGAAGGAUCAUUAAAAAUUGUUCCAAACUACCGCUUAAACCCUUCUUCAAGGUUUAAGCGGUAGCUUUCUCAACCCUUGUGAAUUGUAUGCUGUGUAAAUCUCUUGAUUGGUCUUGGGUAGUUUCUUGCUGCGGUGUGUUAUCACACAACACGGUAAAGAGACCAAGAUCACUAGAGAUUUUAUUCUAAACUCCACUAAAUUAUAAUUGGGUUUUUAAAUGAUUUGUAAAAGUACACAACUUUCAACAAUGGAUCUCUUGGCUCUUGCAUCGAUGAAGAACGCAGC